Molecule: unclassified non-coding RNA, 201 nt
Filed under: Mus musculus (house mouse)
Lineage: Eukaryota; Metazoa; Chordata; Mammalia; Rodentia; Muridae
Description: partial probably derived from hnRNA or mRNA fragment, protein coding region
Source: RNAcentral
CUUUCGCGACAUGGGGAAGAGCUUCCAUUUCGCCAGCGCCACCUGAGGAUUUCCUGGAGCCGCCACCCCCACCUCCCGCGAUGGAAGACGAUCAGGAGCUGGAGAGAAAAAUAUCAGGAUUGAAGACCUCAAUGGCUGAAGGCGAGAGGAAGACAGCCCUGGAAAUGGUCCAGGCAGCUGGAACAGAUAGACAGUGUGUGA